RNAcentral lists this long non-coding RNA (1130 nucleotides) under Vulpes vulpes (red fox). Its description in RNAcentral is "lncRNA (ENSVVUG00000022330.1)". The record is from RNAcentral. Lineage: Eukaryota; Metazoa; Chordata; Mammalia; Carnivora; Canidae.
CUGCUUUUAAAUAAAUGAAAACGUUUUCAUUCUUUAUAAAUUUUUCCUGCUUCCACCAUAAGUGCCAACAACAGUACGCAAGCUGUCAGUAUCUCCAUUAAAAAAAUACAACAGAAAGUGGUUUAAAAAGUUUUAUUAAGGAAAUGAUGAGCUGAAUUAGAGCCAGAAUUGUGACUUGGAUGUGAUUGGUUACUAAUUUCCAUAGUUUGGUCAUCCUUCGCUUUCCCACAGAUAACUGCGCUGUAUAGAGACCCCAAGAAGAUUGAGCAGUGAUUUGAACAUCUUUUAUUGAGGGAACCUUGACCUAACCAAGCUAUGACCUCUUUCUUCAUAACAAAAUAAUUUCCUCCAUGUGUAUUAAAGUAUACAAAUUAUGUACUGAAAGAGGAUGGAGGCUAUUCCUAUCAACAAAUCAAAUUACCCAGCAGGGCUACCUUUCUUAUAAGUAUCUUUCUGUAUCCUGGAGCUCAUUUAUCUUACUGUGGUAUUCUUCUGCAAAGCACAACAGUAAAAGAUGAAUAGACCAGUUAUGGAUGACUCAACUUUUCCCAUUAAUCAGAAACUUCAAUUGACUCAGUUGAUUGCUGACAGCUAUUUUCUGAAUAUUUACAGAAGGCAGUGAAUGGAUGACCCACAGAAAUAUUAUUAUGAGAAGAUGCCACAUAAAAAUUCAGUAGACCAUGAAGAGUUUACUGUACUUAGCAAAAAAUAUAACAUUCCCAGGGCUUUAUCCUUGCCAGUGAUGAAAUAGUAAGCCUUUAUGCCUAAAAUGCUGGCAUUCCAGAAAGAUGGAUGUCUUCUUUCAAAGUUCUCCUGAACAAGCCAUGAAGAACAGCAUUAGCUGACCCUAAGGGUACGGUUGACUUUGCUACACAGAGCAGCAAGAGUGACCUUAAUUCCAUAUCCAUCAAUGAGAUUUAUGAUCUGCUUAUAAAAGGCAAAAAGCAGAAAAUACAUUAAAUGCUAAUAGAAUCCACAGUAAAAACUUUACAAGGAAUAUACAUAUGCAUGCACAUAUGCACACAUACACGAACAUGGAUAUAUUUUGAUUGUUGCUUUGCCAGAAAGAUAUGCAGAAGGACCUUCAAUGUGUGACUCUUGAUUCAAAAAAGGCUGAAAAUGAUGAAGAU